CGUCAAAUCAUCAUGCCCCUUAUGUCUUGGGCGACACACGUGCUACAAUGGCCGGUACAAAGUGACGCGAUUGCGCGAGCAUGAGCAAAUCACAAAAAAGCGGCCUCAGUUCGGAUUGUAGUCUGCAACCCGACUACAUGAAGUCGGAAUCGCUAGUAAUCGCGAAUCAGCAUGUCGCGGUGAAUACGUUCCCGGGCCUU
This 200-nucleotide ribosomal RNA is filed under the name uncultured prokaryote. RNAcentral describes it as "partial 16S ribosomal RNA". It matches the Rfam family "Bacterial small subunit ribosomal RNA", at positions 1183 to 1382 of the family's 1533-position model. The record is from RNAcentral.